CUUUACUGUAGCCUGGUAUUGGGUUCGGGCUUUGACUGCGCAGGAUAGGUGGGAGACUAUGAAGCAAUCCUUGUGGGGGUUGCUGAGUCAACGGUGAGAUACCACUCUGUCAGAGCUAGAAUUCUAACUAAAUGCCGUUAUCCGGCUUUGGAACCGUAUCAGGUGGGCAGUUUGACUGGGGCGGUCGCCUCCUAAAAGGUAACGGAGGCGCGCAAAGGUUCUCUCAGGCUGGUUGGAAAUCAGCCGUAGAGUGCAAAGGCAGAAGAGAGCUUGACUGCAAGAGCUACGACUCGAGCAGGGUGGAAACACGGCCUUAGUGAUCCGACGGCGCUGAGUGGAAGGGCCGUCGCUCAACGGAUAAAAGUUA
RNAcentral lists this ribosomal RNA (367 nucleotides) under uncultured organism. RNAcentral describes it as "bacterial LSU rRNA". It matches the Rfam family "Bacterial large subunit ribosomal RNA", at positions 2099 to 2465 of the family's 2925-position model. The record is from RNAcentral.